GAUCGAUCCCUCUCCUUCCAGCACCAGCUUGGAAAUAAUCUCCAAGGGGCAGGCGGUAGCCCCCGCCUCGCCCGCCUCGCUCCAAAUUUAGCAGCCAACCGGCUCCGAGAAGGACCUUCCCCAAAAGAAAUCUCCAGUCAACGUGAUGGAGAAUGUGGGACCCUCCAGAAUGUGGGACAACAACUUCCUGGCCAGCAUAAUCAAGGAUGAUGGUAUUGCAAUCCAACAACAUCUGAACAGUCAUAAAUUCCUCAAAUUUGGAAAUCUGCAGACUUACCUUAACCUUCGAAAAGCCACUUAUUAUUUCAAAAAUAAUCCUUGGGGCAGCUUAAAAGGGGCAAAACAAAACCAAAAUACCUGUUCUAUGGCACAAGUAUCAUGAACGAGCGUCUGCCACAUCAACUGGA
This is a long non-coding RNA of Anolis carolinensis (green anole), 407 nucleotides long. RefSeq lists it as uncharacterized. NCBI's taxonomy places the organism in Eukaryota, Metazoa, Chordata, Lepidosauria, Squamata, Anolidae. The transcript is spliced from 2 exons. The record is from RefSeq and is a predicted model, not a curated record.